AACGGCCAUACCAUGCUGAAUAUACCGGUUCUCGUUAGAUCCUCGAAGUCAAGCAUCAUUGGGCGCGGUCAGUACUUGGGUGGGUGACCACCUGGGAACAUCGCGUGCCGUU
This 112-nucleotide ribosomal RNA is filed under the name Caerostris darwini. Lineage: Eukaryota; Metazoa; Arthropoda; Arachnida; Araneae; Araneidae. The record is from RNAcentral.